GCGAAUUCGCCCUUUUCCGGUUGAUCCUGCCGGAGGUCACUGCUAUUGGGAUUCGGCUAAGCCAUGCGAGUCGUGAGGGUUCGGCCCUCGGCAGACGGCUCAGUAACACGUAGAUAAUUUGCCCUUAGGUGGAGGAUACCCUCGGGAAACUGAGAAUAAUACUCCAUAGAUCUAGACUGCUGGAAUGCUUUUAGAUUGAAAGAUUUAUCGCCUAAGGAUAAGUCUGCGGACUAUCAGGUAGUAGUUAGGGUAAAUACCUGACUAGCCUACGACGGAUACGGGUAGUGAGAGCUUUAGCCCGGAGAUGAUAUCUGAGACACGAUAUCAGGCCUACGGGGCGCAGCAGGCGCGAAAACUUCGCACUGUGCGAAAGCACGACGAGGGAAUCCCAAGUGCUGGCUCGUAAGAGUCAGCUGUUUUUCUGUCUAAAAAACAGAGAGAGUAAGAGCUGGGUAAGACGGGUGCCAGCCGCCGCGGUAAUACCUGCAGCUCAAGUGGUGGCCGCUAUUAUUGGGCCUAAAACGUCCGUAGCCGGUUCUAUAAAUGCCUGGGUAAAUCGUACGGCUUAACCGUACGAAUUCCGGGUAGACUGUUCAACUUGGGACCGGGAGAGGCUAGAGGUACUCCUGGGGUAGAGGUGAAAUUCUGUAAUCCUAGGGGGACCACCAGUGGCGAAGGCGUCUAGCUAGAACGGGUCUGACGGUGAGGGACGAAGCCCAGGGGAGCAAACGGGAUUAGAUACCCCGGUAGUCCAGGGUGUAAACGCUGCUCGCUUGAUGUUAGUCGGGCUCCGAGCCCAACUAGUGUCGGAGAGAAGUUGUUAAGCGAGCUGCCUGGGGAGUACGGUCGCAAGACUGAAACUUAAAGGAAUUGGCGGGAAGGGCGAAUUCGU
Molecule: ribosomal RNA, 892 nt
Filed under: uncultured archaeon
Lineage: Archaea
Description: bacterial SSU rRNA
Rfam family: Archaeal small subunit ribosomal RNA
Source: RNAcentral